GGGCGAAUGGUUUAGUGGUAUAAUACUCCCUUAGCAUAUUUCACCUGAAUAUCUGGGAGUGGUCCAGGGUUCGAUUCCCUGUUCGUCCA
RNAcentral lists this transfer RNA (89 nucleotides) under Neonectria ditissima. It matches the Rfam family "tRNA". From Rfam's summary of the family: Transfer RNA (tRNA) molecules are approximately 80 nucleotides in length. Their secondary structure includes four short double-helical elements and three loops (D, anti-codon, and T loops). Lineage: Eukaryota; Fungi; Ascomycota; Sordariomycetes; Hypocreales; Nectriaceae. The record is from Rfam by way of RNAcentral.